Molecule: long non-coding RNA, 624 nt
Filed under: Arabidopsis lyrata
Lineage: Eukaryota; Viridiplantae; Streptophyta; Magnoliopsida; Brassicales; Brassicaceae
Description: long non-coding RNA (ALYR_LNC000652)
Source: RNAcentral
CUGGUGAGGCUAUUGAGGGAGAGGAGUUUGAAAUAGACAAUGACGAUGAAGAUGAUAUCGAUGAGGAUGAGGAUGAGGAUGAAGAAGAUGAAGACGAAGAUGAGGAAGAAGACGAUGAUGAAGAUGAGGAGGAAGAAGUAAGCAAGACCAAAAAGAAGGUAUUGAAUUCCUCUUGUUUUGUUUCUUCCUGUCAUGGAAUUGCCUUUUCUGAGUUUGGUUACUAACUUUUUGAUAUUGUGUUAAAUGUUUAUGCAGCCGUCAGUCUUACACAAGGUACAUAGCCAGUUUCCUCCCUUCUGAUAGUAUUUGUCUGAGUUAAUUAGUUAAUCCGACACCAAUGGAUCAUACAACGGUCAUAAACUAUUGACAUUUGGUCAAAAAAGGAAAUGAAUUAGGAAGAUUGCUGAAAUUAACUGAUUAAGCUCAUUAUGUAUAAAUCUGUGAAUCAUAGAAACUUGAACACUUAUAUGACUGAAGCUGAAUUAUAUUAGUAGACAGAAUGUAUAUUUAUAAGCUUGGUGGAAUCCUUAUCAUGCAUAUUUAUAAGCUUAGGCAAAUCAGUGUGUUAUGUUUGUGAUAAUCAGAUAGAUUCAUAAAUAUUCUUUUUGAAAUCAAAUGGCAGAA